CGCCUGUUUAUCAAAAACAUCACCUCUAGCAUCACCAGUAUUAGAGGCACCGCCUGCCCAGUGACACAUGUUUAACGGCCGCGGUACCCUAACCGUGCAAAGGUAGCAUAAUCACUUGUUCCUUAAAUAGGGACCUGUAUCGCCUGUUUAUCAAAAACAUAGCCCUAAGAAUUUAUUUAGGGUGAAGCCUGCCCAAUGAGUUUUAAAUGGCCGCGGUACUCUGACCGUGCUAAGGUAGCAUAAUCAAUUGACUUUUGAAUGAAGUCUGGAAUGAAAGGAAUAACGGGGCUUAGCUGUCUCUAUUUUUUUAUUUUAAAGUUACUAAUUAGGUGAAAAGGCCUAAAUAAGAUAAUAGACGAGAAGACCCUUAGAGCUUUGUAUAUAUUUUCGUUGGGGCGACGAAGGGUUAAAAUAAACACCCUUGUUAUCAUACAAAGGGUUCACCAUAAGCAGAUAAGCUACCUGAGGGAUAACAGCAUAAUCUUUUUUAGGUUUGUGACCUCGAUGUUGGACUAGGGAACUUUUAGGUUAGCCGCUUAAAGGAAUAAUUCUGUUCGAAUAUUACCCCCUACGUGAUCUGAGUUCAGACCGGAAUCCUAUUCUAGAGUCCAUAUCAACAAUAGGGUUUACGACCUCGAUGUUGGAUCAGGACAUCCCGAUGGUGCAGCCGCUAUUAAAGGUUCGUUUGUUCAACGAUUAAAGUCCUACGUGAUCUGAGUUCAGACCGGA
This 729-nucleotide ribosomal RNA is filed under the name Antarctophiline alata. RNAcentral's name for it is "partial large subunit ribosomal RNA". It matches the Rfam family "Bacterial large subunit ribosomal RNA", at positions 1797 to 2620 of the family's 2925-position model. The record is from RNAcentral. Lineage: Eukaryota; Metazoa; Mollusca; Gastropoda; Cephalaspidea; Antarctophilinidae.